Molecule: long non-coding RNA, 2024 nt
Filed under: Phoenix dactylifera (date palm)
Lineage: Eukaryota; Viridiplantae; Streptophyta; Magnoliopsida; Arecales; Arecaceae
Description: long non-coding RNA (PDAC_LNC000914)
Source: RNAcentral
UUGACUAGAACUACCUCCUUGGAUAAAUAUUUAUAUGCAAACAUGGCUGGUGGAGAAAGGAGGAAGGAAGCACUUGAGCUACUGGACAUGCACUAGAUGAAGGUAAAGCUAUAAACCUUUUCAUGCUCCUUGUGGUGUUAUUCCUGUAAACAGAAAAUGAAGUGCAAUGAUAUAUCUUAAUAGUCAAGUAUUUUUUUUUUCAAUGUUGAUGUUCCCAGUUUCAUGCGCUAUGAUUUGAAUGUCUCUUUAGGUAAUCCAAAAGGCAACCAUGUGAGUUUGCUAUAAAGAAAAUCAUGUGUAUAGUUAUAUUUUUUAAUUAAUAUAUGUGAUGGUUCAAAUGUCUUGCACAUUAUCCUAGAAAAGGUGAUGUGAAGCAGGCAGUAUGUUCUUUGAACUUUGCAAUAGACUGCAAUUUUCAGAGCUAACCUACUUACUACUAUUUUCAAAUGUUUCCUACAUAAAUUUCGUUAUUGCUAAGCUCAGUCAUCAAAGAUAUGCUUUUGUAAUAGAUUUUAGAAAAGCAAGGAAAUAAAAAGAAAACUUAAUUUGAUGUCCUUUUCAAACCAAAAUUUGAUGUCGAGGACAACUUCAGCACUUGAUACAAGAAGAGAUGCACAUUCGUCCACCUUCGAGAUAGGAAAUUGCAGAUACAUGUGAAGUUGAAAAAAUUCAUGACAGAGAAACUGUUUCUGCUAUUUUGCUUUCUGUUCCAAGCAGAAUGUGCGCGAUUUUAAGUAUUGAAAUUCAUGCACUAUCUCUAAAGUUGAAUAUAUUUUGAUCUUUAGGUCAUUGCUUCCGACGAACUAUACUUCAACUUUGUAUUAUCAGCUUACUGGUUGGAUAAGGUAGCCUCACCUACUCAUAUAUCAGCCAGUCAGAGCCCUACCUGGCUACUUGGUUUAGCUUGUUCUAUUCUUUUUUAUAUUAUUUUCUUUUUCUCCCUGACUAAGACUAAGGUGUGGGAAUUGCCCUUUUCCUCAUUGUACUUUCUUCUCCACCACCAAUCGCCCAUCUUAUAAGGUCUCCAUAUGAGAUAAUUGUUUUAUUCUAAUCCAUCUACUGUUUCACAGAUAAAAGUGUGGAGGGUUGGAAAGGGUGAUCUUUCUUGUCCAUGUUGUUGUUACAAAGGAGCAACAAGGCUCUGCUCUGUCCUUCUAAAUUUUGUGACAUCAUGUUCAUUCUAAUAAUUAUGAAAAGAAUAUUGGUCAACUAUAGCGUUUUCCCAUGACUAAAGAUAUUCCUUUUGUUUUUUAACUUGACGAUCUAAGAAGUACGCUCGUCGAGUUAUGGAACCUCAUGGAAGCACAGAUGGUUGCUGAUAGACUCCUUUUUGGUAUAUUCCUGGUAUAGGUAAAAGCAAAAGCACUUAUCCUUUAAAUGAUACUUUCAAUUUGUAUACAUUUAUUUAUAUAUUGUUUUAUGCCACAGGAGUUGGCGCUCAUUAUCUAUGCUUUGCUUUUUGACGCAUUGUUGCUUUGUUAUCUCUUAUAUGUCAGAGCAAACCAUCUAUAGAUAUAUGCUUCAGUUCCAAGUGGAGACUACAGGCAAAUAUUGGACGUAACUUGAAGAUUUUCAUCUGGCAACACAGCCAGUUAUUGAUUUCCGACAUGCAUGAUGCAUGAGGUGGAAAUAUAGAAAUUUGGAUGAAUUCUUUGCAUAGGAUUUCAAUACUUGCUAUGUUUAAUGGAGAUAAGCUUGUUUGGAAGGAAAAACUUGAGAGAUUGAUCUACUGAGCAUCUCAAGCAAGAGUUGUCAUUCAUGUUCUGAAAACUCCAAGGCAAUAUCUCUGGCACUGGAAUUGUGCCGGUCGCAUGCCAAUGAUUGGCAGGCUGCAGUGCCAUUUUAAUUCCUUCCAUUUGUUUCUGCUUGGAAAAUGAAAAUUCUUGAAUGCCUGUAAUUUAUCUGGUGGAUGUCAAUUAGCUACAGUUGGAUAUGAUGUAUUUUAUUUGAAUUUUUUGUUGGCUAUGAACAAAUUAAUAUUAUACUAAAAUGAGAAAUAAAUUCUGCUUGGUCAUUGGUUCAGG